This is a long non-coding RNA of Oncorhynchus keta (chum salmon), 1505 nucleotides long. RefSeq lists it as uncharacterized. The record is from RefSeq and is a predicted model, not a curated record. Lineage: Eukaryota; Metazoa; Chordata; Actinopteri; Salmoniformes; Salmonidae. The transcript has 5 exons.
UGUCAGCAGCAUGUCAGUCUGAACUUCCACUACAUAGAGGAAAAGGAGACGUUCCCUCUUUCUCUGUGUCGGCCUUGUUAUUAUCCACAUCCUGUUGUUAUUGUGGGUGUGUAUAAAACCCCUCCACUCAGUGUAAAGGUGUCAGCAGCAUGUCAGUCUGAACUUCCACUACAUAGAGGAAAAGGAGACGUUCCCUCUUUCUCUGUGUCGGCCUUGUUAUUAUCCACAUCCUGUUGUUAUUGUGGGUGUGUAUAAAACCCCUCCACUCAGUGUAAAGGUGUCAGCAGCAUGUCAGUCUGAACUUCCACUACAUAGAGGAAAAGGAGACGUUCCCUCUUUCUCUGUGUCGGCCUUGUUAUUAUCCACAUCCUGUUGUUAUUGUGGGUGUGUAUAAAACCCCUCCACUCAGUGUAAAGGUGUCAGCAGCAUGUCAGUCUGAACUUCCACUACAUAGAGGAAAAGGAGACGUUCCCUCUUUCUCUGUGUCGGCCUUGUUAUUAUCCACAUCCUGUUGUUAUUGUGGGUGUGUAUAAAACCCCUCCACUCAGUGUAAAGGUGUCAGCAGCAUGUCAGUCUGAACUUCCACUACAUAGAGGAAAAGGAGACGUUCCCUCUUUCUCUGUGUCGGCCUUGUUAUUAUCCAGAUCCUGUUGUUAUUGUGGGUGUGUAUAAAACCCCUCCACUCAGUGUAAAGGUGUCAGCAGCAUGUCAGUCUGAACUUCCACUACAUAGAGGAAAAGGAGACGUUCCCUCUUUCUCUGUGUCGGCCUUGUUAUUAUCCACAUCCUGUUGUUAUUGUGGGUGUGUAUAAAACCCCUCCACUCAGUGUAAAGGUGUCAGCAGCAUGUCAGUCUGAACUUCCACUACAUAGAGGAAAAGGAGACGUUCCCUCUUUCUCUGUGUCGGCCUUGUUAUUAUCCACAUCCUGUUGUUAUUGUGGGUGUGUAUAAAACCCCUCCACUCAGUGUAAAGGUGUCAGCAGCAUGUCAGUCUGAACUUCCACUACAUAGAGGAAAAGGAGACGUUCCCUCUUUCUCUGUGUCGGCCUUGUUAUUAUCCAGAUCCUGUUGUUAUUGUGGGUGUGUAUAAAACCCCUCCACUCAGUGUAAAGGUGUCAGCAGCAUGUCAGUCUGAACUUCCACUACAUAGAGGAAAAGGAGACGUUCCCUCUUUCUCUGUGUCGGCCUUGUUAUUAUCCAGAUCCUGUUGUUAUUGUGGGUGUGUAUAAAACCCCUCCACUCAGUGUAAAGGUGUCAGCAGCAUGUCAGUCUGAACUUCCACUACAUAGAGGAAAAGGAGACGUUCCCUCUUUCUCUGUGUCGGCCUUGUUAUUAUCCACAUCCUGUUGUUAUUGUGGGUGUGUAUAAAACCCCUCCACUCAGUGUAAAGGUGUCAGCAGCAUGUCAGUCUGAACUUCCACUACAUAGAGGAAAAGGAGACGUUCCCUCUUUCUCUGUGUCGGCCUUGUUAUUAUCCACAUCCUGUUGUUAUUGUGGGUGUGUAUA